Molecule: ribosomal RNA, 253 nt
Filed under: uncultured bacterium
Lineage: Bacteria
Description: partial 16S ribosomal RNA
Rfam family: Bacterial small subunit ribosomal RNA
Source: RNAcentral
UACGGGGGGGGCAAGCGUUGCUCGGAAUUACUGGGCGUAAAGGGCUCGUAGGUGGCCAACUAAGUCAGACGUGAAAUCCUUCAGCUUAACUGGGGAACUGCGUCUGAUACUGGAUGGCUUGAGUUUGGGAGAGGGAUGCGGAAUUCCAGGUGUAGCGGUGAAAUGCGUAGAUAUCUGGAAGAACACCGGUGGCGAAGGCGGCAUCCUGGACCAACACUGACACUGAGGAGCGAAAGCCAGGGGAGCAAACGGG